UGUAUGAAUGGGCAGAAGAAAUUUUCUUAACUGACUAUCCCAUCAUUGCCUGCUGUUGGAGACUGAACACUGUAUUGAGAAUUGAUGGGGUGUAGCAAUCAGUGGGUGUUCUCAUUUGCCCUGAGAAGAAUCAGAGAACUCCCUGGGCCUCAUGAGAUGGUGACACCCUGCAGUAGGAGCAGUUCCUACCAGUAUCUUUUAAAAGCAGACAUAAGUUCUCAUAGCAUCUGAUCCAUUUCUGGAGACAAACUUUGGGUAGCAGUUACUUGAGAUGUCCGGCUGAUUGAUGAGGAUAAUUUCCCUGAGACUCUUAACAUUUUGUAGGACAUGGACAGCUAUAUUACUGUAGAAAAUGUCAGGACGGUGGAGAUUUAGAUAAGUGGUGUGAUGUUAUUGAUGGUAAACAGAAGACUGUGACCUUGAAUCUGAAGAUCUGUGAUGAAGACUGGACGUUUGGGGUCACUCUCUGUUACAGUACUACAAAUCUAACAGUGUUACGCUCAGCCACAAAGAGGUUGUCUCUGAUGUCCACACAUAAACCUAAUGGAAGCUCUAAAUCACAGUGAAUGUAACGGAGGAACUGUCCGUCCUGAUCUAGGAUGUGGAUACGGUGAUUGUCACAGUCUGCU
Long non-coding RNA from Ostrea edulis (European flat oyster), 629 nucleotides. RefSeq lists it as uncharacterized. NCBI's taxonomy places the organism in Eukaryota, Metazoa, Mollusca, Bivalvia, Ostreida, Ostreidae. The transcript has 5 exons. The record is from RefSeq and is a predicted model, not a curated record.